This 484-nucleotide ribosomal RNA is filed under the name uncultured bacterium. Its description in RNAcentral is "partial 16S ribosomal RNA". It matches the Rfam family "Bacterial small subunit ribosomal RNA", at positions 30 to 507 of the family's 1533-position model. The record is from RNAcentral.
AUUGAACGCUGGCGGCAGGCCUAACGCAUGCAAGUCGAGCGGAUGAAGGGAGCUUGCUCCUGGAUUCAGCGGCGGACGGGUGAGUAAUGCCUAGGAAUCUGCCUGGUAGUGGGGGAUAACGUCCGGAAACGGGCGCUAAUACCGCAUACGUCCUGAGGGAGAAAGUGGGGGAUCUUCGGACCUCACGCUAUCAGAUGAGCCUAGGUCGGAUUAGCUAGUUGGUGGGGUAAAGGCCUACCAAGGCGACGAUCCGUAACUGGUCUGAGAGGAUGAUCAGUCACACUGGAACUGAGACACGGUCCAGACUCCUACGGGAGGCAGCAGUGGGGAAUAUUGGACAAUGGGCGAAAGCCUGCUCCAGCCAUGCCGCGUGUGUGAAGAAGGUCUUCGGAUUGUAAAGCACUUUAAGUUGGGAGGAAGGGCAGUAAGUUAAUACCUUGCUGUUUUGACGUUACCAACAGAAUAAGCACCGGCUAACUUCGUG